This 406-nucleotide transfer-messenger RNA is filed under the name Rickettsiella sp. It matches the Rfam family "transfer-messenger RNA". Rfam says of the family: Bacterial tmRNA, also known as 10Sa RNA or SsrA, is named for its dual tRNA and mRNA-like properties. Its role is to liberate the mRNA from a stalled ribosome. To accomplish this part of the tmRNA is used as a reading frame that ends in a translation stop signal. The record is from RNAcentral. Lineage: Bacteria; Pseudomonadati; Pseudomonadota; Gammaproteobacteria; Legionellales; Coxiellaceae.
GGGGGCGAUCGGCUUCGACGUCGGUUACAAACCCCAAAGUGCAUGUCGAGGACGCAACUUUGCCUCGUUAAUCAUGUUGUAAACUUAUAGUUGCAAACGACGACUAUAUCUCCGCUGAAAACGUUGCUAUUGCUGCUUAAACCACAGUAAAUCGUGUAACGUUUGCGCCGUCUAAACAACGGCAAGCGCCAUGAACUUUGCAGUGCUUGUUCUGUGGGGGGAAUGGUCAUAUCUGACAAGCUCGUAGUCUAGUCUGUCUGAGACGAGACUGCUAAAUGUGUAAAGACUCGUUGGUAAAUUCCCUGUCAACCGGAAAUUUAUCGAUUAAAUUUAAAGAUUGACUAAACAUGUAGUGCUAAGGGCAGCGGAUUGGCGGACGUGGGUUCGAUUCCCACCGCCUCCACCA